CCAAACUUGGUCAUUUAGAGGAAGUAAAAGUCGUAACAAGGUUUCCGUAGGUGAACCUGCGGAAGGAUCAUUACAAAACGACGGGGGCCUCGCGCCCUCCUCCGGUGCGCGGAAACGCGUGACGGAUCACCCUUUGUGAAAAACCUUUGUUGCCCCGGCGGCUCCCUCCCCCGCGGGGGAUAAGCCCGCCGGCGGACCACGAAACUCAUGCCAUUAACAUCUGUCUGAAUUUAUUAUCUAAAUGAUAUAAAACUUUCAACAACGGAUCUCUUGGUUCCCGCAUCGAUGAAGAACGCAGC
This 299-nucleotide unclassified non-coding RNA is filed under the name uncultured fungus. Its description in RNAcentral is "partial contains small subunit ribosomal RNA, internal transcribed spacer 1, and 5.8S ribosomal RNA". The stretch from base 1 to 73 matches the Rfam family "Eukaryotic small subunit ribosomal RNA", at positions 1759 to 1831 of the family's 1831-position model. The record is from RNAcentral. Lineage: Eukaryota; Fungi.